This is a long non-coding RNA of Oncorhynchus tshawytscha (Chinook salmon), 1315 nucleotides long. The record is from Ensembl. NCBI's taxonomy places the organism in Eukaryota, Metazoa, Chordata, Actinopteri, Salmoniformes, Salmonidae.
UUUAAUGAUUCAGGUAUUUAUUUACACAACAAAAACUGUAUAAAGUGUUACAAUGUAAAAAUAAAAAAAAAAGACAUUCUGUACAAAAUAUCAUGGUUAGAGAAAGGUCAAUGUUAGAGAUGGUUACAAUCGCAAAGGUCAAUAUGACUGUACUGGUGUUUUUGUGGUAUGAAACAUAUUAAGAGACACGAGGCUACUGUUUGAACACUGUCGUAAUGCUGCAGGUAGCCUAGCGGUCAGAGUGUUGGGCAGGUAACCGAAAGGUCGCUGGUCUGAAUACCGGACCUGAGUAGGUGAACAAUCUGUUGCUGUGCCCUUGAGCAAGGCACUUAACUGUAAUUGCUAAUUGUACAAUGGGGACCCCACUCUCGGAGGAAGUUGGGAUAUGGUGACCCUGACCGUGACCCCACUCCCUGCGGGUGUGUCUGGGGGAGUUGGACAUGGUGACCCUGACCGUGACCCCACUUCCUGGGGGUGUCUCAGGGGGAGUUGGGAUAUGGUGACCCUGACCCCAAACCCUGCGGGUGUCUCAGGAUAUGGUGACCCUGACCGUGACCCCACUUCCUGGGGGUGUCUCAGGGGGAGUUGGGAUAUGGUGACCCUGACCAUGACCCCACUCCCUGCAGGUGUGUCAGGGGAGUUGGGACAUGGUGACCCUGACCGUGACCCCACUUCCUGGGGGUGUCUCAGGGGGAGUUGGGAUAUGGUGACCCUGACCCCACUUCCUGCGGGUGUCUCAGGAUAUGGUGACCCUGACCCCAAACCCUGCGGGUGUCUCAGGAUAUGGUGACCUUGACCCCAAACCCUGCGGGUGUCUCAGGGGGAGUUGGGAUAUGGUGACCCUGAACGUGACCCCAAACCCUGCGGGUGUCUCAGGAUAUGGUGACUCUGACCGUGACCCCACUUCCUGCGGGUGUCUCAGGGGGAGUUGGGAUAUGGUGACCCUGACCGUGACCCCAAACCCUGCGGGUGUCUCAGGGGGAGUUGGGAUAUGGUGACCCUGACCGUGACCCCACUCCCUGCGGGUGUCUCAGGGGGAGUUGGGAUAUGAAACACCUUUCCACUUGUGUGUAACAGGUCAAAUAUAAAAACACCACCAAAAUUAUUAUAUUUUAAAAAGAAAAUACAUUGUUAUUGAGACGUUUCUAUUUAUUUAUAUAUAUACACCUAUAUACAUAUUAUCAACAUUCCUAUUGAAAUUAAACGGAAUUCCAGAAUGACAUUUUCAUUAUGGAUUUUCCAGAAUUCCCAGGUAUCAGCCUGCCAUCCAGAGGGUGAAGGGGAUGAGGAGGGUGGGAAGCGUGGUGUAAGGGGA